UUUCCUGAACCUACUGGAUGGAUGUGAGGAGCUAAAGCCAGGUUGCUGUUAAACUAUAUCUUAAGGAAACAUCUCUAAGUGAAUUGCGUUUUCUGAAGUCUGACUAAGGACAAAGCAUCAUCUUACUGGGAACUUGUUUAACCUGCCAAAAACCCUUCUGCACUCUGACUGCAAACCGUUCUGCAGCCUAGACUUGUCAUGCAAACGCCGCACGACUUCAGG
Long non-coding RNA from Manacus vitellinus (golden-collared manakin), 222 nucleotides. RefSeq lists it as uncharacterized. The record is from RefSeq and is a predicted model, not a curated record. NCBI's taxonomy places the organism in Eukaryota, Metazoa, Chordata, Aves, Passeriformes, Pipridae. The transcript has 3 exons.